RNAcentral lists this ribosomal RNA (274 nucleotides) under uncultured bacterium. RNAcentral describes it as "partial 16S ribosomal RNA". It matches the Rfam family "Bacterial small subunit ribosomal RNA", at positions 523 to 796 of the family's 1533-position model. The record is from RNAcentral.
ACACGAACCGGACAAACGUUAUUCGGAAUUAUUGGGCUUAAAGGGUGCGUAGGCGGCGCGGUAAGUGAGGUGUGAAAGCCCACGACUCAAUCGUGGAAUUGCGCUUCAUACUGCCGUGCUAGAGGGAGACAGAGGUAAGCGGAACUGAUGGUGGAGCGGUGAAAUGCGUUGAUAUUAUCAGGAACACCGGUGGCGAAGGCGGCUUACUGGGUCUCUUCUGACGCUGAGGCACGAAAGCUAGGGUAGCGAACGGGAUUAGAUACCCCGGUAGUCC